This 253-nucleotide ribosomal RNA is filed under the name uncultured bacterium. RNAcentral's name for it is "partial 16S ribosomal RNA". It matches the Rfam family "Bacterial small subunit ribosomal RNA", at positions 524 to 776 of the family's 1533-position model. The record is from RNAcentral.
UACGGAGGAUGCAAGCGUUAUCCGGAAUUAUUGGGCGUAAAGGGUCCGCAGGUGGCGAUUCAAGUCUGCUGUUAAAGCGUGGAGCUUAACUCCAUAAAGGCAGUGGAAACUGAGUUGCUAGAGUACGGUAGGGGUCACGGGAAUUCCCAGUGUAGCGGUGAAAUGCGUAGAUAUUGGGAAGAACACCAGCGGCGAAAGCGCGUGACUGGGCCUGUACUGACACUGAGGGACGAAAGCUAGGGGAGCGAAAGGG